Molecule: long non-coding RNA, 813 nt
Filed under: Gallus gallus (chicken)
Lineage: Eukaryota; Metazoa; Chordata; Aves; Galliformes; Phasianidae
Description: lncRNA (ENSGALG00010001091.1)
Source: RNAcentral
CGGUCGGUUCCUUUGUCCAGGGAGGCCUGAGAUCACAGAGCAGCCCGGCAGCUCUCGUGAGAGCAGCACAUGUGAAGUGGGCAUUGCCAGGGAAGUGGUGGGAGAUUUAAAUGGACACUAACCCGGAAGAAGCCCUUGAUCACUGAGGUUCGCUGCUUCGGAGCUGCCCUGGCAAGAACCGCAAUGACUAAUUGUGAGAUAAAGCCUGAAGGACAGAGAGGAGUCAGGGUGUGUGAAUCACGUGGGAUGUCCAGACAAGGAGAAACGUCGUUGUCGCCACCGCCACCAUGGACACCGUUGUCAACAGAACAACAACGCCUGACAACCCACCACUACUGAAGAUCAAUGACUGAACUGCGAACCAUGUUGGACCAUGGUGUCCAAGACAGCUUCUCUUCACUCAAUGAGGAUGUGGCAAGCCAAAAGGUUGGACGUCAGCAUAUUAGGCAAUGGUGUAUCAGGAGCCUGGAUUACCUUGUUCGUACUUGGAAAGUAUUAAGUAAAAUUAUCUCAAUUUCUUGUUCUCUCAAGCUGCUUAUAGAUGACUGUAAAUGAAAGACAAAAAGUCUUGUUUUAGAGAGAAAGUUCUUUCAUCAUACUCUUUCCUUGGGGCUGUUGAAGAUAUUAUCCUGCAGGCUUUAUGUGCUUCUUGUACACUAUGGUCAUUGAUGAAGAUGUUGAACAAGACCAGACCCAGUACUGAGCAACCCCUGGGGAUCACUGCUAGCUACAGAUCUUCAACUAGACAACACUGCUGAUCGACAGACCUUUGAGCUCUGCCAGUUAGCCAGUUCUCAGCCCAUCUCACUGUCC